UACGUAGGGGGCAAGCGUUAUCCGGAUUUACUGGGUGUAAAGGGAGCGUAGACGGCUUUGCAAGCCAGAUGUGAAAGCCCGGGGCUCAACCCCGGGACUGCAUUUGGAACUGUGUGGCUAGAGUGUCGGAGAGGCAGGCGGAAUUCCUAGUGUAGCGGUGAAAUGCGUAGAUAUUAGGAGGAACACCAGUGGCGAAGGCGGCCAGCUGGACGAUGACUGACGUUGAGGCUCGAAAGCGUGGGGAGCAAACAGG
Molecule: ribosomal RNA, 253 nt
Filed under: uncultured bacterium
Lineage: Bacteria
Description: partial 16S ribosomal RNA
Rfam family: Bacterial small subunit ribosomal RNA
Source: RNAcentral